AGGGGCUUCUUUCUCUUCGACUCCGGCGGCUCUGCUCGCGAUCCAGUGCAAAGAAGACAGCUGUUGUACUCCAUUGAAGUUGAUUUGGAGCUUCGAUUUCUGGCUAACAUUACGAUCUAGGGUUUUUGGUUGUGGCGGUGGGUAUUAUUUUUGUUAUAUUCGUUCAAUUUUCUUGGAUUUUGUACAUCACGUUCUGUGAAUUGUCGUCGGCUUCUGUCGGAGUUCUUUCUGGUGAAGGGUUUCGCUGUUCAUUGAGCCAGCAAGUUAUAACUGGUAAAUCACUGUGUUUUGAGGUUGCGUUUUGUUAGUUUUGUUAUUAGCAAAUGGGUGGCUUUGUAUUUGGGGUUAGGGUUUUUUUGUUCAAUUAUGUAGCUGUUGUAGGCAGUUUUACUUUGGAGGUGUAAAAUUUGAAUAUUGGACCUUAGCAGGCAAUAAAUCUUAAUUUAUUUGAACCAGUUAUUGGCUUUGAAGGUGAGCUAUUUUUUCUUUUAUUUUUUCAUUAGGGGGGGGUUCAAUUAUUCGAGAGAUUUGGCUUUUACGUUUAAAUUUUGAUAUGUUUUAUAUGUUAUAUAGAACCUUUUUUCCCCUAGUGCUCUUUGUGAAAGUAGGAAUUUAUUAUAGUAAUCUAGUUAAAGGGGGCUUGAAUGGUGAAAUGCUUUUGUCCAAACUCAGUGGAGCCUUCAUGUGUUGUUCAACCCACACAGCUAGAUAAGGCUAUUUGAAAGUAUGAGGAGGUAAUGUCAUUCCCAUGGUUUGUUUAUGCAGAGUUGGGUAUUAAGUGAACUGAUUUGCCCCAGCGAAUAGAAGGAACUAGAUAAGUGCUGGAAUUAAUAUGAUGGCGAAGAAUGAUAAAUUCCAUGGAGGAUUUCAUCGAAAUUCAUUUGACACAGUGGGUGAUUUGGAGGAUUCUGGUAGCUCAGGACGGAUUGA
Molecule: unclassified non-coding RNA, 930 nt
Filed under: Hevea brasiliensis (rubber tree)
Lineage: Eukaryota; Viridiplantae; Streptophyta; Magnoliopsida; Malpighiales; Euphorbiaceae
Source: RNAcentral